GUAAAGGUGUCUUUAGACACCACCUCUCUUCUUUAAAUUAUUUUGU
This is a non-coding RNA of Picea glauca (white spruce), 46 nucleotides long. Lineage: Eukaryota; Viridiplantae; Streptophyta; Pinopsida; Pinales; Pinaceae. The record is from Rfam.